GGGGGCGCACGCAUCGACAAGGAACAUCCAUUGAGGGUUGCAGGCCGAGCUGAUCGUCUCGCCCGUCCGCCUCUGGCGGAUACAACCGGUCAAACACUAUAUCUGCCAACCGAACGGUUGCAGUUCCGGCGUUCGCAUUCGCGUAAUGCCGGCAUCGGCCUCUCAUGUCUCGUAGGAAUCAGCCGGUGUAAUAUUCGAGACUCGUCUUGUGGGGCCGCUUCGCGCUUCACGGGAUUAAACUAGCGGAGCACCUUCGUUCGCAAGAACUAAGCUUGUAGAGUGCCUUCGGUGAAUUCCCUGGAAGAGGGUUCAAUCCCUCCGCCUCCACCA
RNAcentral lists this transfer-messenger RNA (330 nucleotides) under bacterium. It matches the Rfam family "transfer-messenger RNA". Rfam says of the family: Bacterial tmRNA, also known as 10Sa RNA or SsrA, is named for its dual tRNA and mRNA-like properties. Its role is to liberate the mRNA from a stalled ribosome. The record is from RNAcentral.